UGGGCAACCUGCCCCUCUCUCUGGGAUAACCCCGGGAAACCGGAGCUAAUACCGGAUACUCCGGCUGGAUCGCAUGGUCCGGCCGGGAAAGGUCCGCCGGAGAGGGAUGGGCCCGCGGCCUAUCAGCUUGUUGGUGGGGUCAUGGCUCACCAAGGCGACGACGGGUANCUGGUCUGAGAGGACACCAGCCACACUGGAACUGAGAUACGGUCCAGACCUCCGUACGGGAGCA
This 232-nucleotide ribosomal RNA is filed under the name uncultured bacterium. RNAcentral's name for it is "partial 16S ribosomal RNA". It matches the Rfam family "Bacterial small subunit ribosomal RNA", at positions 118 to 347 of the family's 1533-position model. The record is from RNAcentral.